UUCAUUCGCUACAGAUAUCUUCUUGCUUUGAACUUAGUAGUGUAGGUGAUAAACACGUGUUGUAUGAGUUGCGCAGUCACUCAAGAAUAUUGGAAAAAUCAUCAAUACUGGGGAGAAUUAUUGCCGCUCAGAAAGAAUUAGAAGUCACAUUCUCGAAAUUACUGGAGUCCUGCAUCAAUCGUCCUGAGACAUGCAAUAUCUACAUAGAGAAAUAAGAAAAGGAAAGCUUUUUUCUCUCAUAUUUUGAAUCUUGAGAAUGCGGAAUAAAAAAUCGCCCGAUAAAGAAAUUCAAGUCGAUUUAGAAGAUCUCGAAACACGAUUUACGAAACUGAGAACAGUAGACUUAGAUAAAUCCAAAGUAAUGGAAAAUCAAAACCCUUUGUUAAGACACUGCACAGAGAGAGAGAGAGAGAGAGAGAGAGAUAACAUAGUUGGAUCAUCACGGCAGACGUUCAAGUCGCGGGAGAAUAGGUUAUUCGAGGACAGAGUAAAGCCGUACUGGUGGACACGUGAGAUAGAGGAGCUCCGAAGAAAAUAUAUCAAGCAGAGGCGGAUAUAUACAAGAGCAAGAAGGAGGACAAAAAAUACAAAGGAGGAAGAAAUAGCUGAAAUCAAGGAGAACUUAAAUGUUGCCAAAAGAACGCUUAAAACUGCUAUUAAAAAGUCCAAAGAAGAAAUCGCAGACCGACUAUUUCGCACCGAUUUGACGAAAGAAAUAUUAAGAAAGCACUACGAGGGCGAAGCGGAAACCUGCUUAGAGCAAUGUCCCAUUGAGCGGAGAUCUAUAGCGGAACGGAAUGUGCCGGACCGGCUCGAUCAAUCGUAACCACAGAAAAA
Pseudomyrmex gracilis is the source of this 837-nucleotide long non-coding RNA. RefSeq lists it as uncharacterized. The transcript has 2 exons. NCBI's taxonomy places the organism in Eukaryota, Metazoa, Arthropoda, Insecta, Hymenoptera, Formicidae. The record is from RefSeq and is a predicted model, not a curated record.